Molecule: ribosomal RNA, 216 nt
Filed under: uncultured bacterium
Lineage: Bacteria
Description: partial 16S ribosomal RNA
Rfam family: Bacterial small subunit ribosomal RNA
Source: RNAcentral
GUCCCAGUUCGGACUGCGGUCUGCAACCCGACCGCACGAAGCUGGAAUCGCUAGUAAUCGCGAAUCAGAAUGUCGCGGUGAAUACGUUCCCGGGUCUUGUACACACCGCCCGUCACACCAUGGGAGUCAGCAACGCCCGAAGUCAGUGACCCAACCGAAAGGAGGGAGCAGCCGAAGGCAGGUCGGAUGACUGGGGUGAAGUCGUAACAAGGUAUC